UAAAUGCAAAACACAAGAAAACACGUGAAACAAAUGUUUUCAGACAUUGGAUAAGAAGCUGGGGACAGGGAUGCCUCAGAGAAGAGAAACAACUCUCCCACAUCUAGAACGAACAGCCAGACGGCCUCAAAACCUCUGUUUCAACAGCCACAUGGCCUCGAAACCUCUGUGUUUCAACAGCCAGAGGGCCUCGAAACCUCUGUGUUUCAAGAGUCCUUGUACCUGCUGUGAAGUUUGUCAGAGUAAACUUCAGUGUGUGCAAAUCUCAGAGGAGGGCCAGGCUCUGGUGGGUUCUAGGGCCCCCCAACCUGUGCCCAGAUUGGCACAGACUUCCUAAGCAUGAACAUCGUGAUGCAUGGAGAAUAAACUGACAUGAUGGACUUCAUAAAAAUUAAGUUUUUGCUCUUCUAAACAUAGUACUAAUCAAGUAAAAAGGCAGACAAGAGUAAAAUACUUUCAGUACAUAUCUUCAACUCAACGAUCAGACAGACAACUCAGUUUUGUUUUUAAGAUGAAAGAUUUGAACAUUCAUCACAAAAGAAGACAUAAGAAUGGUCAGUAAGCACAAGAAAAUGUAUUUAACAUCAUUAGUUACCAGGAAAGAUAAAUUUAAGCCACAGAGAGAGUUAAGGCUCUGCUACCACGGAGGCCAGGCCGAAAGGCCAAGUGGCGUUUUGGCAGGCGGGCAGCAGGGUGGCACUGCUGGCGAGAGUGCAGAUGGUCCAGCCACUCCAGAAAGCAGGCUGGCAGUUUUUAUGAAAUUAAAAAUUUGCUGCCCCAUGCCCCAGCAACCUCCCUCCUCAGUGUUCACCCAGGAAAAAGGAAAACACUCAUGCUUCCACGCAAACCGACACAGGGACUCUCACCGCUUCAGCUGUGAUCUCCACAGACUGGGAGCUUCCACGCAGACCAGCAGCAGGACUCUCACCGCUUCAGCUGUGAUCUCCACAGACUGGGAAAACACCAACGGCCAUCCACCAGGGGGUGGAAGAGCUGCAUUGUGUCCAUAGUGUGAGACGCUGGCCUGCAGCACAGAGAAAGCAGAGGACACGCUCGGCAAGGUGGGCGAGUCCUGACACCGCUGGCCCGAAGAGACCCACUCGCAGAGAGCGGAGACCACCCAGAGAGAAUAGCCAGGUGUUAGCCUGCGGGGAACAGCCAUUUAUGUGAGACUCAACGGCAGCGAGGGAGGCAGGGGUCUCCCACCUGGCGCAUCACAGGCCUCGUCCUUGGGGGUGACGGAGAUGCUCCGUGUCAUGGUCACACGGCGGUUCCAUGACACUUGUCAAAAUUCAUCACAUGCUGAAAGUUAUACCUCAAGAAAGUAGGUUUAUGAAAAGGAGGCAGCAAUGGGGUUUUUGUUGUUAAAGGUUGAAGAGAUAGGGAGGGGUUGUUCAAAGAAAGUUAACAAAAGUAAUUAAAGAUUUCGAGGGAAGUACAACAGUGUUGUACAAGUUUAACGUAAUAAAGAAAUUAAAGAUUGAAUUUCUGGAUAGAGUUCUCUAAGCAUGUAGAUAUUUAGUGCCCAGCAGUAACUCAUCAAGAAAACAGAAUGAUGUGAAAUAGACUAAAAGUACCUUAGAAGAAAAUGUUUCAUAUAGAACCUACAAUAGUUUUAAAAAUAGAACGGUCUGCAUUUAGUGACCGUGGAAUCUCAGUCAUAUUAAAACAGAAUAUAACCUUUAGGUAUCCGCAUGUUUCAAGGCUAAAAUAUAACGUGGUGUCAUGGGUGUUUCUGGUUCUCUGCCACGGGGUAACUUUCCCAACUUGAGAUAACUAUGAGAGUGUGUUCUCAUAGGUGACAAUGUCAUUUAACAACAACAAAAAAAACCCCAGCCAAGUGCAGUGGCUCAUGCCUGUAAUCCCAGCACUUUGGGAGGCCGAGUUGGGAAGAUUUCUUGAGACUAGGAGUGUGAGACCAGCCUGGGAAACAUGGUGAGACCCUAUCUCUACAGGAGAACAUUAGCUGGGCAUGGUGGUACACACCCGCGGUCCUAGCUACUCAGGAGGCUGAGGUGAGAGGAUCAGCUGAGCCCAGGAGGUCAAGGCUGCAGUGAGUCAUGAUUGCACCAUUGUACUCCAGCCUGGGCCACAGAGUGAGACCGUGUCU
Molecule: long non-coding RNA, 2110 nt
Filed under: Homo sapiens (human)
Lineage: Eukaryota; Metazoa; Chordata; Mammalia; Primates; Hominidae
Description: HSALNT0395411
Source: RNAcentral